AGUGAACGCUGGCGGUAGGCCUAACACAUGCAAGUCGAACGGCAGCACAGUAAGAGCUUGCGCUUACGGGUGGCGGGUGGCGGGCGGGGGAGGAAAACAACGGGAUCUACUUUUUCGUGGGGGGUAACGAAGGGGAACUUAAGCUAAUACCGCAUACCACCUACGGGGGAAAGGAGGGGAUCUUCGGGCCCUGCGCGGUUGAAUGAGCCGAUGUCGGAUUAGCUAGUUGGCGGGGUAAAGGCCCACCAAGGCGACGAUCCGUAGCUGGUCUGAGAGGAUGAUCAGCCACACUGGAACUGAGACACGGUCCAGACUCCUACGGGAGGCAGCAGUGGGGAAUAUUGGACAAUGGGCGCAAGCCUGAUCCAGCCAUACCGCGUGGGUGAAGAAGGCCUUCGGGUUGUAAAGCCCUUUUGUUGGGAAAGAAAAGCAGCAGGUUAAUACCCCGCUGUUCUGACGGUACCCAAAGAAUAAGCACCGGCUAACUUCGUG
RNAcentral lists this ribosomal RNA (492 nucleotides) under uncultured bacterium. RNAcentral's name for it is "partial 16S ribosomal RNA". It matches the Rfam family "Bacterial small subunit ribosomal RNA", at positions 29 to 507 of the family's 1533-position model. The record is from RNAcentral.